UACGAAGGGGGCUAGCGUUGCUCGGAAUCACUGGGCGUAAAGCGCACGUAGGCGGCUUACUAAGUCAGGGGUGAAAGCCUGGAGCUCAACUCCAGAACUGCCUUUGAUACUGGUGAGCUUGAGUUCGGGAGAGGUGAGUGGAACUGCGAGUGUAGAGGUGAAAUUCGUAGAUAUUCGCAAGAACACCAGUGGCGAAGGCGGCUCACUGGCCCGAUACUGACGCUGAGGUGCGAAAGCGUGGGGAGCAAACAGG
This 253-nucleotide ribosomal RNA is filed under the name uncultured bacterium. RNAcentral describes it as "partial 16S ribosomal RNA". It matches the Rfam family "Bacterial small subunit ribosomal RNA", at positions 524 to 776 of the family's 1533-position model. The record is from RNAcentral.